GCGGUAAUACGGAGGGUGCGAGCGUUAAUCGGAAUUACUGGGCGUAAAGCGCAUGCAGGCGGCCUGUUAAGUCAGAUGUGAAAGCCCCGGGGCUUAACCCUCGGAAUUGCAUUUGAAACUGGCAGGCUAGAGUCUUGUAGAGGGGGUAGAAUUUCAGGUGUAGCGGUGAAAUGCGUAGAGAUCUGAAGGAAUACCAGUGGCGAAGGCGGCCCCCUGGACAAAGACUGACGCUCAGAUGCGAAAGCGUGGGGAGCAAACAGGAUUAGAUACCCUGGUAG
RNAcentral lists this ribosomal RNA (278 nucleotides) under uncultured bacterium. Its description in RNAcentral is "partial 16S ribosomal RNA". It matches the Rfam family "Bacterial small subunit ribosomal RNA", at positions 517 to 793 of the family's 1533-position model. The record is from RNAcentral.